CUACAUGAAGCUGGAAUCGCUAGUAAUCGCAGAUCAGAAUGCUGCGGUGAAUACGUUCCCGGGUCUUGUACACACCGCCCGUCACACCAUGGGAGUUGGAAAUGCCCGAAGUCGGUGACCUAACCGAAAGGGAGGAGCCGCCGAAGGCAGGUCUGAUAACUGGGGUGAAGUCGUAACAAGGUAGC
RNAcentral lists this ribosomal RNA (185 nucleotides) under uncultured bacterium. RNAcentral's name for it is "partial 16S ribosomal RNA". It matches the Rfam family "Bacterial small subunit ribosomal RNA", at positions 1316 to 1500 of the family's 1533-position model. The record is from RNAcentral.